CCCAAAUAUAUGUCUAAAAAGAAUUUCCUUGCAGGUGCGUUAUACAGCCUGUCUAGAUUUGGCAGGCCAGUGUUGACUAUAGGCACCAACCGGUACAACAUACACAAAGCGAUCGGUCCGAAGUCAGUGUGGAGAUGCGAGCGGUGGAGGCGAGACAAAUGUAGGACCACGUUGACCACCCUCGCCAACUCUGUUAUCAGGACCAAUAAACCGCAUAACCAUGACUGAGAUUUGACAUGUAAUGGCGAGCGUCGAAUAGGCCGAGUCGUAAAAUUCACAUGCUAUUUGAUAUAAAAUUGCACCCUUUAAGAAGGCCCGCAACAUCAUAUGAAAUGAACUCGACUCAAUAGUCGACGGAAGCCUUAAUGUUCCAGAAUUGCGAGCGCGUUCAGUGCUACGCUCUGGAAUUUGAUUGAGAGUCGUUUAUCUCCUGUUCAUGGAAAAUCGUGACGUUCAGUCCAGCGAUUUGCGUGGUUACUUACAGUUUGAACUACAUUUUUUCACUUCAUAGUUGAACUUAAGGUGUCUGUUUUUGUAAAAUUAAUGUCCAGGCAUUUAUUUAUGACGUAGAAAAUAGUAUUCUAAAAAAUCACUUAAUAUCAUGGCGUCCUACUUUGCUUUAAACAUCACGUAUGUGCACAACAACUCAUGUAAAUAAUACUAUUUUAUAAAUUAAAUUGUUUUGUAAAUAUGUAUAAUGUUUCGAUCAUUUGGUUACAGGUUUACUUUAAUAUUUAAUUAGUAUCCGUAAUACUUUGUGACAAGGAUUUUCCAAAACUUGCAGAUAGUACAUUUUGAUAUGUCAAAAUAAUGAAAGAUAUGUAAAUAUCAUCUUUAUUGUCGAACUCAAAAGGUUUAUAAAUAGUUCGAGUCCAUCAACCUUGAUAAUAUGGAACUCAUUUGAUUUUUGCACUUUGCGGGUUAACUCAAGCACUCUUUGUUACAGUUCCAAAUUUUAAUAUCACCAAUGCCGAUCUCUUCCCUGUGUGGUUAGAACAUAAUCGUAAAUCAGCAGCCGUCCACGCUCAAAUAAUUUUGCUGUUACAAUUACAACAUUACACGAAAAAAAUCAAGGAUGGUAUUAAAAGGGCCGCCCAAAUUUUUUGCUUGAGAACAAAGAAGAAGUGGGUUGAAGUCAACGGGAGCUGUGUGACGCUGGUGAGGGACGAGGCGUGGUUGGGGCAGAAGAUAUGGCUGCCACGUGUUGUAAAUUCAAACAAGACCGUGCGGAGAUAUCGUCGUCGCUAGUCGACAUAAUGGAAAACAGGAAAAUAAUUACGGCAAUUUUUUUUUAUUGGUUGACUAUCGUGCUGCGGUCUCUAGUUCUAUUCUAUUGUAUGCUAUUAGGUUGUCCUUGUCAUUAGAUCGGAGUCUGAAAUCGUGCCUGGUAAAUGGUAAAUGCUUGCCUCUGUUACACAUGACCGAACAGCUGGCCAAAUGAGAUUUUAAUUUAACCUUUCCCUGAAAGAAGUUGAAAAGGCGUGAUGUAACGUUUUUGUCCUGACCUGACAGUCGCUAUAAUGGAGCGGACAGUGUAGUACAAUUAUCGAUCUUACUGACGAGUGACAUUGCAAGGUCGCUAGAAACGUGCUGGUCGAUAUUCAUGUAUACUAAGGUAUGAAUUACUAUUAACUGUAUGGUAGUGGCGAAUAAACCCGUUAUCCAUAUUGCUCUACCCGCAAAUAUUUUAAGAUGAAAUCUUUAAAAAUAUAUUUUACAAUAAUGUUUGAAAGCUGAUAAAUUGUUUUGUUUCAUUAAGGGGUAGUUGGAAUGUCUGCAUAAUCCUGCAUGAUUUUUUUUAAGGUCGCCUACAAAUUAGUCGCGCGAAGACAGCACGCCUUUCGCGCGGCUUGGUAAAUCCAAAAAAUACAAACGACGCUAAAGUAAAGAACCUAAAAGCACAUUCCAUUUACCACUGAGUACCGCGUGGUAGUUUUUUUUAUAUGAAUAAUUUGAAGGCGCCCUAAAACUUUUUAAACGUAAAAGUGUCAUAUGAUUUUAUAUGAAGUAAAAUACUAAGUAUGCAUGUUUUUAAAAACUUUUUUUAAUUAAUAUUUUGCUUUUCCCGAUUAUACAUUUUGUUUUUAAAUCUUUGUUUAGAUGUGGCUUUGAUUAUUUCUAGAAUGUGUCAUUUUGGAUAUUUAUAUUACGUAAUUUGUUUUUUUUUUGUAUCAGGAAUAAGAUUUUUUUGAAUGUAAUCGAAUUAUGAUUUUUUAAUUUUUAUCUAUUUUUUUUAUUUCGACGGGAUGGUGUCUUAGUUAAAACUUGAAUCAACUAGAAUUUAUAUUUGUUAUGUAGUUUGCAAAUUAGUUAGUAUGUGACGUUGCUUUAAAUUAUUGUUUAUAGCUAAAUACUUAGAUUUAAAUUGCUACAAAAAGUAUUAUAAACAAAUGCUAGUUCAGCAGAAACUCUGAAGUCGGUUAAUGUUUUUAAGGCCGUUUAACUAAACUUUGGUUAAUAAUAUUAUGAAUCUAUAAUUUUUGUGCUAACGGUGUUUCACAAAUCAAAACUGUCUACCCUUACAUUGGCAUUUUGUGUUGUGACGGUGUUAGUACAUUUAUGUUAAACAAAGUUGGUGAAAACGGGCAAAAAUAACUUAAUUAUAAAAAAAAUAUAAUAAUAUUUAUUUCCAGUUCUAGAAUGGACGGUGUCCAGAAAAGGCAAGCGAAUGCUGCAAGUGGACCAGAACCGUUUCUACCAGCACAGCAGUUAUAGGAACGGCGGUCCUCGAUGCCUCUGGGUUUGCAUCAAGUGGAGUGCCGGCUGCCGCGCCUCUUUUACCACCAUUGAUGAUCGAGUGAUCAAGUGUAAUGAUCGACAUAGUCACAAAUGAAAGUAAACAAAACUCAUAGAUUUCGUGGCGUAGUCGAGUCGGCUGCUUAACGUGAGGCUGAGAAUUUCAGUUCAGCCUUGGGUUUGGGCAUCCAGAAAUGUCACUCGUCGUAUGGAACGUCACAGAAAACUGUCAAUUUACUUUGUCAAGCCGACCUAUUCAGGGUAGACGCACGGUAUAGCAUCGAUUAUGUCCGAUGGUAUGUGGAACGACGUGGUGUAGAGUAACUAUUGUCAAGAGAUGUACAUCCUUUGCCAGUGGACAUAAAUAUAUAAAUAAUUUCAUCCACGAAGACGCGCCCCACUACGUUUUGAUGGGUGUGUAUUUAUGUUACUUUCGGAUAUUGUAACCCCCUUAUUCAUAGAUGUUUUUUAUCUAAGGACGGAGCAAUGCUGUGAUAACAAGCUAAUAUUGAGAUACAACAAUAUUAACCAAUCACAGCGGCCCUAUGUCUACGCACUGCGAAGGCUGCCAUGCCGUCAGCACUGAGAAACAGAUUUGUCAGCAUUGCUCCGUCCUUAGGUAAAUAACGUUUAUUAAUAGGAGCGUUAGUGUUUAGGGCAUUAGUGGGGUGCGUCUUCGUGGAUGACAUGAGAUAUACCAGCCUGUUCGGAACUGGUUACACAGGCAGGUCCCGGAAUGCAAAUCAUUUAUAAGUUUGCUUAAGGUUUAAGAAACGUUAUUUUGUUAUUGUUGUGUGAAAAUUUCUUUAAAAAGCAAAGUUAAAUAUAUUUAUUCACAAUUUUAUUUUUGUAAAUUUAGUUUGUUUGAUUUUUCGAUAAAGCAUUAAGUUAACUUUGAGUUUCUUUUGAAUUGAUAAAAAAUAUAUAUAUUUGGCAGGUAUUUGGUUAUUUUCUUUCAAAAUAUAUGGAAUUGAAAACAAAAUUUUAAUUAAAUGAUACCUCGGCUGUACAUAAAAAGUUGAUAUUAAUACAUUACAAUUAUUCCAAAGUAAGUAAAAAAACAUGAAAAUAAUACAUUAAGUAUGUUUCGAAACAUUUGUUGCGCCAAAACGUUUUAAAAUAUAACAAAUGAUAAGUGCAGAGCUGCUUGCGUGCACUGUGACUGUGACAUAAACUUCAAUAAUUAAUUUCUUAAUUUUUUUUUUCUCAGAAGUAACGUUCGGCGUAUCAAGAUAUGGAAAGCAGAUGUUAAUCAUGGGGAAAUAUCGGUUUUAUCAACGAAGUUAUUAUUCUGGCAAAUAUAUACCUUGGAUAUGUAACGCUUGGAGCAAAGGCUGUCGUGUCACUGUGAAGACCAUGGAUGAUAAAAUUAUUUCUAUUAAGAACGAACAUAGCCAUUAGAGGUGCGAUAUUCACAACAUCCCGCGGCGGCAACCCGGUGAUUGUGAUGGGCGUCUACCGAUAUAAUAAGAACAAUAGGAGCAGGGGACCGAAGGCCUACUGGUUCUGCAGCAGAGCCCGGAGUAGUGGCUGUAAAGCGUCACUGGCCACUUACCAAAAUGUUAUAAUUAAAACUAAACCUUGCCAUAACCAUUGAGGGUAGAAGUAUAAAAAUCAAAGUCCAUUUCUGUGUAAAAAUAUUAGAGUUUUAUUAUUAAACUAGCGACCCGCCCCGGCUUCGCACGGGUAUAACAUAACAAAAUAACAGUAUUUCUCCAUUAUUUAAUGGAUGUCAUUAUUAUACACAUAAACCUUCCUCUUGAAUCACUGUAUCUAUUAAAAAAAAGCCACAUUAAAAUCCGUUGCGUAGUUUUAAAGAUUUAAGUAUAAUAGGGACAGAGAAAGCGACUUUGUUUUAUACUAUGUAGUGAUGAAUAAAGCGUACUUUAAUUCCAUACAUUGAACAAAAAAGGUUCGUAAAGUUGUGGAAUAUUUGAAAUGUGUUUUGCUUAAUGUAUAAAAUCGUUCAGAAAAAUCGAGCACAUAACAGUAAAGUAUGAACAUGAUAUGUAGUUCCUUACUUGCCUUCAGUAGACGGUACUAAACUAAAAUGUAUCAUUAAACAGAAUAACUAAAUUUAGAUGAAAUAUUUAUUGAGAUCUCUCCAAUAUCCAUAUCUCUUUUACUUUUAGUUCUAAGCUUCUACCAAGAUAUCUGAAGUUGUCUUUUCAAUUAUACCAAAAUAUAAAUUAAGUGAUGAAAUACUUAUUAAUAAUUAAGAGUUAAUAUUCUGUUUAAGCUUAAAUUAUGGAAAAUGUGUUGUUUAUUAUAAAAUUCAAUUAAA
Manduca sexta (tobacco hornworm) is the source of this 5020-nucleotide long non-coding RNA. RefSeq lists it as uncharacterized. The record is from RefSeq and is a predicted model, not a curated record. Lineage: Eukaryota; Metazoa; Arthropoda; Insecta; Lepidoptera; Sphingidae. The transcript has 2 exons.